GAUCAUUAUUGAAUGAACUUGGUGUGGUUGUUGCUGGCCCUCUCGGGGGCAUGUGCACACCCAUCAUCCUCAUCUCUCCACCUGUGCACCUCUUGUAGACCUGGAUAGACUUUCCGAGGCAACUCGGUCGGGAAGAUUGCUGCUCUCUUGUGGGCCAGCUUUCUUUGCAUGUCCAGGCCUAUGUUUUUCAUAUACCCCUAUAGAAUGUAACAGAAUGUAUCAUUGGGCCUUGUGCCUAUAAACCUUAUACAACUUUCAGCAACGGAUCUCUUGGCUCUCGCAUCGAUGAAGAACGCAGCGAAAUGCGAUAAGUAAUGUGAAUUGCAGAAUUCAGUGAAUCAUCGAAUCUUUGAACGCACCUUGCGCUCCUUGGUAUUCCGAGGAGCAUGCCUGUUUGAGUGUCAUUAAAUUCUCAACCUUAUUAACUUUUGUUGAUAAUGGAUUGGA
Molecule: unclassified non-coding RNA, 447 nt
Filed under: uncultured fungus
Lineage: Eukaryota; Fungi
Description: sequence contains ITS1, 5.8S rRNA gene, ITS2 and 28S rRNA gene
Rfam family: 5.8S ribosomal RNA (bases 251-404)
Source: RNAcentral